This 601-nucleotide ribosomal RNA is filed under the name uncultured bacterium. RNAcentral's name for it is "bacterial SSU rRNA". It matches the Rfam family "Bacterial small subunit ribosomal RNA", at positions 277 to 896 of the family's 1533-position model. The record is from RNAcentral.
AGAUCGGUAGCCGGCCUGAGAGGGCACACGGCCACACUGGCACUGAAACACGGGCCAGACUCCUACGGGAGGCAGCAGUGGGGAAUCUUGCACAAUGGGGGAAACCCUGAUGCAGCGACGCCGCGUGAGCGAUGAAGCCCUUCGGGGCGUAAAGCUCUUUCGGCAGGGAAGAUUAUGACGGUACCUGCAGAAGCAGCUGCGGCUAACUACGUGCCAGCAGCCGCGGUAAUACGUAGGCAGCGAGCGUUGUUCGGAGUUACUGGGCGUAAAGGGUGUGUAGGCGGCUUUUUAAGUUUGGUGUGAAAUCUCCCGGCUCAACUGGGAGGGUGCGCCGAAUACUGAAAGGCUAGAGUGCGGGAGAGGAGAGUGGAAUUCCUGGUGUAGCGGUGAAAUGCGUAGAUAUCAGGAGAAACACCGGCGGUGUAGACGGCUCUCUGGACCGUAACUGACGCUGAGACACGAAAGCGUGGGUAGCAAACAGGAUUAGAUACCCUGGUAGUCCACGCCCUAAACGAUGCACAUUUGGUGUGGGUCAUUCAGUUGAUCCGUGCCGGAGCUAACGCGUUAAAUGUGCCGCCUGGGGAGUACAGUCGCAAGGCUG